AAUGAACGCUGGCGGCAGGCCUAACACAUGCAAGUCGAACGGAUCCUUCGGGAUUAGUGGCGGACGGGUGAGUAACGCGUGGGAACAUACCCAAAGGUACGGAAUAGCUUCGGGAAACUGGGAGUAAUACCGUAUGUGCUCGAAAGAGGAAAGAUUUAUCGCCUUUGGAUUGGCCCCCGUUGGAUUAGGUAGUUGGUGGGGUAAUAGCCUACCAAGCCGACGAUCCAUAGCUGGUUUGAGAGGAUGAUCAGCCACACGUGGACUGAGACACGGCCCAGACUCCUACGGGAGGCAGCAGUGGGGAAUCAUAGACAAUGGGGGAAACCCUGAUCUAGCCAUGCCGCGUGAUCGAUGAAGGCCUUAGGGUUGUAAAGAUCUUUCAGGUGGGAAGAUAAUGACUGUACCACCAGAAGAAGCCCCGGCUAACUCCGUGCCAGCAGCCGCGGUAA
RNAcentral lists this ribosomal RNA (449 nucleotides) under uncultured bacterium. RNAcentral describes it as "partial 16S ribosomal RNA". It matches the Rfam family "Bacterial small subunit ribosomal RNA", at positions 29 to 523 of the family's 1533-position model. The record is from RNAcentral.